AAAGUUCUCUUUGAUCGCUUGCAGUUGCACAAAUAUCUGACCUCAGCAGAUGGUCUACACGAAGUUCUUGGAUCGAUCAACCCUCUGCGGGAGUGCUAGCUCGCAUAGUCGACUUCUGAUGGCAGAUUUGAUUUGAUCUCUUCCUUCGAUCACCUCGAACCUUUCUGAUAUCAAAGAUGGAUCAGAGAAAGAUGCUGGAUGGUGGAGAAAAAUAUGAUGAAAACUCUCUUCUCUUUAAUUUUUCUCUCACCCAAAAUCUAAAAUAGUUUUAGAUCGCUCACCCGAGAGGAGAUCGGUCUCCUCUUUUGUUCAUGCCAAGGA
RNAcentral lists this long non-coding RNA (321 nucleotides) under Elaeis guineensis (African oil palm). Its description in RNAcentral is "long non-coding RNA (EGUI_LNC027626)". Lineage: Eukaryota; Viridiplantae; Streptophyta; Magnoliopsida; Arecales; Arecaceae. The record is from RNAcentral.